This 7695-nucleotide long non-coding RNA is filed under the name Homo sapiens (human). Its description in RNAcentral is "non-protein coding BASP1-AS1:25". Lineage: Eukaryota; Metazoa; Chordata; Mammalia; Primates; Hominidae. The record is from RNAcentral.
GCAGACCCUCCCCUCUCCCCUCCAGCCUGGACACGCCCGCCUCCCCUUGACUCCCCCCAGCUCUGGGCCCCCACCUCCCCUCCCCUCCAGCACAGUCACCCCCAUUUCUCUCCUAUCCGCCAUCCUGGUUCCUCCCUUCCCCCCACCUCCCAACUCUGUGCCCCGCCAACGUUUCCUAAAUGCCCUCUAUUCAGAUCCCCCCUCCGCCUCCCCUCUCCUCUCCUCCAUUCCUGCGUCCCCCUUCCCCCGCCGCGCCGCCUGGGCUGUCCGUGGACUUCUCCCACUCUCUCACUCUCUCACUCACUCUCUCUCUCUCUCUCUCUCUCUCACUCUCUCUCUCUCUCUCCCCCUCAUUUAUUUGGAACCGUUGGAUAAGAAGUGCUCGGGCUCUCGCUCAGACUUAGGGAGCUGCCUCGAGGUGAUGAAUGACACCCCCUGGCACCAGCUACCCUUCUCAGACCCCAGUCCAGCCCGCUCCCGACGUCGACUACGAUUCCGCUACCUCGGCUGGCAGCGAGGUUGGGGUGAGCCCCAGCUGCAGGCGCGUCUGGGCUGCGCCGCUGCAAACGAGUUGCGCACCUUGGGCGGCUCCGCACCUGCACCCGCACCCGCGGGGCUCAGCCCCGAAGGCUGCAGCUUCGGGGGAGGCGCGGUCGCCGAGGUCCAGCUGGUGGGGCGAGAGACGUCGCCCCUCGGAGGAUGCUCUCGGAACUUGGGAGAGGAAGGAGGGAAGAGAAGAGGGGAAAGGGGCCGUCGAUGUUUUUGAUGUCUGUGCUUUAAUGGAGGCCACCAAUAUUGAGAAGACGGGGUUGGCCGAGGCAGCCCGCACGCUGCUGCUUGCGAGCGCUCGAGUCAAAGCUAGGGCCAACCGCGGCUUGUCCGGGUGCCCUAAGGGGGCGGACACUUGGUUUAGCACCGGGACACAGAAUAGCCACCGGGGUAGGAAGAUGCGUUCACUUUGCUUACCUGUUGGCAAGAGGGACAUACAAAAAUAACGUAACGUGACAUCGUUGACAACGGUAGCUCUUUGAUUACACAAAAGCCAAUUUUACCUUCCCGCAAAAGCCAGUUGACGCCUUUGGAACUUUUAUUUGCGGCAUUUUGGCGCCCUCUGGCUGUGUUUGGAUCGCUUUCAUGCUCGCCUGCGUCCCAGCCAAGAAAAAAUCGAUGGAGCUGCAGGUUGUCCUCAGGAUGGUUCUGCCCUCAGGACCUGGGCGUGAAUUCAGGGACAGGGUGGCCCUCCAGAACCGGAGUGACAAACUGUAACCAUACUUAGGGAGGCAGACGUCAAAGGCAAGUACAUCUGUAUUCAACUGGGUAAAGGAAGAGUUUUUCAGCCUGGCGUGGUGGCUCACACCUGUAAUCCCAGCACUUUGGGAGGCCAAGCCAUGUGAAGACGUGCCUGCCUCCCUGUUACCUUCCACCAUGAUUGUAAGCUUCCUGAGGCCUCCCCAGCCAUGCCUGCUGUAUAGCCUGCAGAACAGAAGCGUUCCACUGUAAAGGAGCAACUUGACAGGCUGAGCCUGGCGGUGACAGCAUACAGGAUGGGCGCAGCCCCCACAUCUGGGUCAUUUCGUGUCAUCAUGUCUGGAAUAUCAAGUUUGAGCACGUAUGCAGCAAGGAUACCCUUCAACUAAAAGUUGCAUCCUCAAAUUGGGGCUUUCUAACUCAGCGUGGCGAUGUUGUGGAUCAGGUCAAAAGUGCUUUUCCUUAGAGCCAAGUUGAGAGUUGAGAGGCCUCUGCCACCUGCAUCUGUGCUUAUGAGCAACACAUGUGGUCUCGGAGGGGGCUUCGGCGAGCACAAACUCCAGCAUUGUCAUUCAGAACCCAGGACAAAGCCUUUCACACUUGCACGACAUGUGCUUUCUGAAAUGAAUGCAACUGCAUACUUCCUUCUUGAGCUCGCAGUAAUGAAUGACUUCACAGAUGGAUGGAUGAUCUUGUGGCUGGCUACAAAGAAUAGACUAAAACCCGCGGAAAUGCAGAUAGAUUAAAAAGGAGUGACAGGAUUAAUGAAAAUAAAACGCAGACCUUAUAAGCAGACGCUGUGAUUUUGUAAUAAAGAGGGGCAGCUUUUACAGGAAAAAGAACCCGAGGGAAGCUGUUGGCAGUCUGUGAAACGACGGUCAUGGUGGAAUUCGUUUUUCUGCACAUUAGAUGUUUAAAACAGCUGGUUUUCGUUGUUGUUGUUGUUGUUGUUUUCCUGAAAGAAUCUUGUUCCCCACAAUAUGUUCUUGGUAUUCAAAAUGGCUUUUGCUCCUACUUUUUGGAAAAUGCACUUCAGUUUCCAAUUUAUUCAUUUGUUAGUGGGUUCAUCAAUUAGUUUAUUCAUCAAUUAGUUCAUCCAUUGUGGAAGACAGUGUGGCGAUUCCUCAAGGAUCUAGAACCAAAAAUACCAUUUGACCCAGCAGUCCCAUUACUGGGCUUAUUGAAGUCUCCUAAUGUGAAUUUCUACUCCUGGACAUAAUACCUUCUUCUCAGAAAUAAGACAGAGUUUUCCCCUGCACUUCUUUAUAUGCUUUUUUCUCUGACUUUUGCCAUGUGGUUUUGUUUCUCCCAUGGCUUGAAAGAGCAGGAAAACUGAAGGUACCAACUGAAAGUGCUGCUUCCUGCUUUUGGUUUUCCUUCAUUUUAUUUCAUUUUUCAAGCUGAGUCUCACUCUGUUGCCCAGGCUGAAAUGCAGCUCAACCAUCACGGCUCACAGCAGCCUUGACCUCCUGAGCUCAAGCAGUCCUCCUUCCUCAGCCUCCCGAGUAGCUAGGACCAUAGGUGUGCACCGCCACCCUUAGCUUUUUUUUUUUUUUUUUUUUUGUAGAGACAGAGUCUCCCUAUGUUUCCCAGACUCGGUGUUUUUCAAAUAUUUGAAAAUGUAAAAGCCAUUCUUAGCCCACAGGCUGUACAAAAACAGAUGGAGGGCCAGAUUUAACCCAUGGGCAGUGGUUGGCCAAACCCUUGUGUAUCCCAUGCCAUGCCCUACUAUUCCAGACUUAAAAGUUAUAAUUUUAGGAUAAACUUGUUAUAUUUUUGUCAUGUCAGAAGACUGAGUGUAUACAUUUUCUUUUUUUUUUUUUUGACGGAGUUUUGCUCUGUCCCCCAGGCUGGAGUGCAGUGGGGUGAUCUCGGCUCACUACAACCUCUGUCUUCCGAGUUCAAGUGAUUCUCCUGUCUCAGUCUCCUGAGUAGCUGGGAUUACAGGCUCAUGCCACCAUGCCCAGCUAAUUUUUGUAUUUUUAGUAGAAACGGGGUUUUGCCAUGUUGGCCAGGCUGGUCUCGAACUCCUGACCUCAGGUGAUCCACCUGCCUAGGCCUCCCAAAGUGCUGGAAUUACAGGCGUGAGCCACUGCACCUGGCCUGAGCAUAUACAUUUUCAUAGGCAAAAACAUACCUUGGAAAUACUUCUCAGGAAUGUGCACAUAUGAAUUACAAAAUGUAAAAAGCUUCAACUCCAUUAUGAACUGUAAAUGCAUGUGGCAGGAGGCGAUCCUCAUAGAAGCUGUCAGGGCGUGACUUCAUUCUAGAUGCUGUAAGUAGCAAUAAUAAAAGAGGAAGCAAACACGUGCAGCUUCUGGAAUUCAGACCCUGGAGGAAGGAGACAGGUGGCCUUGAGUGAGGAUAUGAGGAACACAGUCAAGGAGAAAAUGCAGCUGGUGAAUUAUAAACAUCCAUGGGCAGACAUAGAAAGUUAGGAACCCCAGCCCUCUAAUGGAACCAAGAAACCAGAGGCCAGUAGGAAACGGCUCCAGGAAGAGCGAAACUUGAUAAAUGUCCUAGACGUCAGUGAGAAAGAUCCGUUUGUUUUGUUUACACUGAAAAUUUUUAAAUUGCAUGACUAUUUAGAGCACUUUUACAUUUUUUGCCUAGAAUUAGAUCCAAAGAAUAAAUGACCUAUUGAGCCUGAAGGGAUUUUAGGAAAAAAUAACUUUUUUAAAAAAAUAUGUUUUUUUGUUUUUUGUGUUUUUUUUUUGAGACAGAGUCUCGCUCUGUCACCCAGGCCGGAGUGCAGUGGUGCUAUCUUGGCUCACUGCAAGCUCUGCCUCCCGGGUUCACGCCAUUCUCCUGCCACAGCCUCCCAAGUAGCUGGGACUACAGGCAUCUGCCACCACCCCCGGUUAAUUUUUUUUUUUUUUGUAUUUUUAGUAAAGACGGGGUUUCACCGGGUUGCCCAAGAUGGUCUCGAUUUCCUGACCUCAUGAUCUGCCAGCCUUGGCCUCUCAAAAUGCUGGGAUUACAGGUGUGAGCCACCAUGCCUGGCCUAAAAAAUAUAUAUUUUUUAAAAAAUAAAGACAAGGGUCUCACUAUGUUGCCCAGCUUGGUCUUGAAAUCUUGGGCUCAAGUGAUCCUCCUGCCUUGGCCUCCCAAAGUGCUAGGAUUACAGACAUGAGCCACUGCACCAGGCCAAGAAAAAGUAUCUUAAUGACAUAUUUUCAUUUGUGUUUUUCUUCAGCCCUCUGGAUGCCAGCUCUCCUUCCCACUUGGCAGCUCCCUGCAGCAGUUUCUCGUUAUGAUUUUUGGGAGCUUGUUACAGAUGUGAAAUCCUCCUCUUUAAUUUAAGUCUAUGUCCACUAAUUUGGUCCUCCACAAAACUGAUGAAAAACUAGUGCACAUUCCCCACAUUAAAACUUGUCAUUUACCUAAAGAUUGUCAUUAAACCCCCUCAGUCUACUUUUCUCCUGACCAAACACCCCCAAACCCUUGAACCUUUUCUUAUAGAACCAACCGUCAUCGUUUAAAACAUUUGUGUGCCUCCUAUUUCUUUACAAUAUUUUUUAACAGCGGAAACAAACCCCCAAAAUGCAUUUUCUAGUGAGGCUUGGACUAAGGUGGAUUAGAGAAAGAAUACACAAAGGAGAAUGAUUUCCUAAACUGCGCCCGUUAUACUUCCGACAUCUCAGUACCAUGCUGGCUUUUUCCCACAGAAUUGCUAUAUUUCUGAGGAGUAUUCAUUUAGUAAACCGAGUUCUCUGCACCCAGGUCAUUUUGCCACUAAACUUGUAAUAAUCUCAGCAACAACAGUAAUAGCAGCAUCUAACUGUUGCCCUGUGUUAAUGGCUGACAGCCGCCCUCUGCGGUUAGUCUACCAUCAUCUGCAAUUUAUAGCAGAGGAUCCAGGCUUGGAGAGGUUCAGGAACUGGCCUGAGAUGAUCCUGGCUGUGAAUGGUGAAGACUGGGUUCUAAUCUACAACUGGAUCCCUGGAUUCUCACUCUUGAGUGCCAUGCUGUGUACUUCUCAGUGUCGAUCUGUGGAUUGAAAUUAACAGUAUCUGCCGGGCGCAGUGGCUCAGGCCUGUAAUCCGAGCACUUUGGGAGGCCGAGGUGGGCGGAUCAUGAGGUCAGGAGUUCGAGACCAGCCUGGCCAACAUAGUGAAACCCCAUCUCUACUAAAAAUACAAAAAAUUAUCCAGAUGUGGUGGUGUAUGACUUACCCCAGCUACUCGGGAGGCUGAGGCAGGAGCAUCGCGUGAACCCGGGAGACGGAAGUUGCAGUGAGCCAAGAUUGCGCCACUGCACUCCAGCCCAGGCAACAGAGCGAGACUCCAUCUCAAAAAAAAAAAAAAAAAGGAAAGAAAUUAACAGUAUCUGUAUUAGUCAUCUCAGGCUGCUGUAAUAAAAAUACCAUAGACUGGGUGACUUAAACAACGACAUUUAUUUCUUACUGUUCUGAAGGCUGGGAAGUCUAAGAUCAAGGCACUGGCAGGUCUAGAGUCUGGCGAGGGCUCUCUUCUGGUUUGUAGACAGCACACUGGUAUCUUCACUGAGAAGAGCACUAAUCCCAUGAUGAGGGCUCCCCCCUCAUGACCUCAUGUAACCCUAACCACCUUCCAAAGUUCCUAUCACAAUGGGGAUUAGGGUUUCAACAUAUGAAUUGGGGUCAAGAAGGGAGGACACAAACAUGCAGUCUGUAACACUACCUCUUUUCAUACUUAAAAAAAAAAUGCGGGUUUUUGUUUGUUUAACACUCUUUUUUUUUUUUUUUUGGGGGGGUGAUGGAGUCUCGCUCUGUCACCCAGGCUGGAGUGCAGUGGCGCGAUCUCGGCUCACUGCAAGCUCCGCCUCCCGGGUUCGCGCCAUUCUCCUGCCUCAGCGUCCCGAGUAGCUGGGACUACAAGCCCCCACCACCACGCCUGGCUAAUAUUUUGUAUUUUUAGUAGAGACGGGCCCACGCCCACCCGGAACUCCCGCUGGCCCGCAAGCGCCGCACGCAGCCCCGGUUCCCGCUCGUGCCUCUCCCUCCACACCUCCAUGCAAGCUGAGGGAGUGGGCUCCGGCCUUGGCCAGCCCAGAAAGGGGCUCCCACAGUGCAGUGGGGGGCUGAAGGGCUCCUCAAAUGCCACCAAAGUGGGAGCCCAGGCAGGAGAGGUGCCAAGAGCAAGCGAGGGCUCUGAGGACUGCCAGCAUGCUGUCACCUCUCAGUUUCACCGUGUUAGCCAGGAUGGUCUCGAUCUCCUGACCUCAUGAUCUGCCCGCCUCAGCCUCCCAAAGUGCUGGGAUUACAGGCGUGAGCCACCGUGCCCGGCCUUAACACUCUAUUUUUUUUUUUUUUUUUUUUUGAGACGUAAUUUUGCUUUUGUUGCCCAGGCUGGAGUGCAAUGGCGCGAUUUCGGCUCACUGCAACCUCCAUCUCCCGGGUUCAAGCAAUUCUCCUGCCUCAGCCUCCCAAGUAUCUGGGAUUACAGGCAUGCGCCACCACACUUGGCUAAUUUUGUAUUUUUAAUAGAGAUGGGGUUUCUCCAUGUUGGUCAGGCUGGUCUCAAACUCCCAACCUCAGGUGAUCCGCCCACCUUGGCCUUCCAAAGUGCUGGGAUUACAGGCGUGAGCCACUGAGCCCCACCUGUUUAACAUUUUUUAAUUUUUUUUUUUAAUUAUAGAGAUGGGGUCUCACUAUGUUGCCCAGGCUGGUCUCAAACCCCUGGGCUCAAGUGAUCCUCCCGCCUCAGCCUCCCAAAGUGCUGGGACUAUAGGCAUGAGUCACUGCACCUGGCCUCUUUUUAUACUGACCAGGUUUGUGUUACUCCACUCUAUUUCCUUCAACAACAAUUUCCCAAUUUAUCAAGGUAAUUUUCAAAUUUAUACUGGUUCUUAGUCCAGAGAAUUAGCAACUCCAACUAAUUAAGUAACAUCUGCAGUUUCAGUCAGUAUAUUUCCAUUAUCUUCAUUCCUUUUAUGGAAACUUAAAAAUUUCAACUUCAGGCUGGGCAUGGUGGCUCAUGCCUGUAAUCCCAGCACUUUGGGAAGCCAAGGCGGGAAAAUCACUUGAGCUUAGGAGUUUGAGACCAGCCUGGGCAAUAUAUCGAGACCUUGUCUCUACAACAGCAACAACAACAAUAAAAAUUAAAAGUUUAAACUUCAAAUUCUGACUGUUAGACGCAAUAAGCGCUAACAUUGUAUUCCAGGCAUUAUUGUAAGCAUGUUAUAUGCCUUAACUCCUUUGCUACUCUCUGUGGCCCUAAAAAGUAGAUACACUUGUUCCUUCCACUGUUAGAUGAUAGAGGCACAGAGUGGUUGUAUAACUUGCUUAAGGUCACGCAGCUAGACAUUUGGCCCCACAUCUUUACAAGUAGCUUUAGAUUCAAAAAAUAUUCUAUGUGCAUCUUGUUUCCAAUUCUCUUUUCAAUAAAUAAUCCCUUUCCAAUCAAGAAUUUUAGGGAAAAAUUGGACCAUUUUUCUAAUGUUAUUUAUCCAUUUUCCUGCUAAUAG